AGGGAACAGGGGUCCAUUCAGAACAAAUACCAGUAUGUGUGGAGCAAUAUGCUAGCCUAGUACAUAGGAGACAGUUGUUACAGAGACAGGUGCCUGUCCGAAUAUGGUAGCUAGGAGACAGUUGUUACAGAGAAUUGCCCUGUCCCAAUAUGGUAGUUAGGGGACAGUUGUAAAAGAGAAUGUCCCUGUCCCAAUAUGGUAGUUAGGAGACAGUUGUUACAGAGACAGGUGCCUGUCCCAAUAUGGUAGUUAGGAGACAGUUGUUACAGAGACAGGUGCCUGUCCCAAUAUGGUAGUUAGG
Molecule: long non-coding RNA, 301 nt
Organism: Oncorhynchus tshawytscha (Chinook salmon)
Lineage: Eukaryota; Metazoa; Chordata; Actinopteri; Salmoniformes; Salmonidae
Source: Ensembl